AUGGCUACGGCCAUCUCCGCCUCCGCGCUCCUCUCCUCCGCAUUCGCCGGCGAUAGGCGCCACCGCCGCGCGGCGAGGCCCGCGCCCCGCCGCGCCGUCCCGGCUGGCCUCACGGUGCGGUGCGAGCAGAGCGACAAGCAGAAGCGGCAGUCACUUUCCGCAGUCGUUCCCCGCGAGCAGCGGUUCAUGUUCGAGGGCGACGAGCUCUGCGGACCCGACAUAUGGAACACAACAUGGUACCCUAAGGCUGCAGAUCACGUAACUACCGAGAAGACGUGGUAUGUUGUUGAUGCAGAGGACAAGAUUCUUGGCAGGCUAGCAUCUGCUAUCGCAGUGCAUAUGAGAGGGAAAAAUGAGCCCACAUACACUCCAAGUGUGGACAUGGGGGCUUUUGUUAUUGUGGUUAAUGCAGAGAAGGUUGCUGUUUCUGGUAAAAAGCGGUCACAGAAGCUCUAUAAAAGGCACUCUGGACGGCCCGGUGGAAUGAAAGAAGAAACUUUUGAUCAGCUUCAGAAAAGGAUUCCGGAGAGAAUUAUCGAACAUGCUGUGCGUGGCAUGCUUCCUAAGGGCAGGCUGGGAAGAAGACUAUUUACCCACCUCAAGGUGUACAAAGGAUCAGAGCACCCGCAUGUGGCUCAAAAACCUGUUCCACUGCCCAUCAGAGACAAAAGAAUAAUGAAGUCUGGCUAG
Molecule: ribosomal RNA, 690 nt
Filed under: Triticum aestivum (bread wheat)
Lineage: Eukaryota; Viridiplantae; Streptophyta; Magnoliopsida; Poales; Poaceae
Description: partial small subunit ribosomal RNA
Source: RNAcentral